Molecule: ribosomal RNA, 582 nt
Filed under: Triticum aestivum (bread wheat)
Lineage: Eukaryota; Viridiplantae; Streptophyta; Magnoliopsida; Poales; Poaceae
Description: partial small subunit ribosomal RNA
Source: RNAcentral
AUGGGUUCCCUAUUCUCUUCCCCUGCCGGCGGCGACUCUCUCCCAGUCUCAAAAAAGUACAUUGGCCGCUCUAUUAGGUCAAAAGAACAGGACGUCGCCCUCCGAAUUUCUACGCUUGUCGACAUCGCCAUCGAACAUUACAACUCCAACAAUCCAGGUGCCGAGUUCGAGUAUCCUGAGUAUCCUCCCCAGUCGACCACGGAGAUGAAGGCUGCCUGCAUUGGUUUUAGGGGAACUUUCUGGUACCACCUCUGCUUUUCGGCUCACCCCAUGGAUGCCACCGCCGAGACGCAACACUUUUUCGCUGAGCUAUAUUUUGAUAAACAGUACCUCGAACUAGCCGUUGAAACAUGCAUCAUCUUAGAAAAGCCGUUGUGCCGCUUUAGCAGCUCGUGUGCAUUUUGUCCAGACGAAUCCAAUAUCUUGCACCCAAGUGAUGAAGAAUUUGUCUGUGGAAAGCAAGAUCACAAAAAAGAAUUCUUCCGCAGGAGAGAUAUGCUAGUGCGGCCAUACAGUUCUUUUAUGACACCUCCUGAUAUAGAUAACACCGUCAUAGACAUAGAUAGCACCGAAGAUCCAUGA